RNAcentral lists this ribosomal RNA (436 nucleotides) under uncultured Acidobacterium sp. RNAcentral describes it as "bacterial SSU rRNA". It matches the Rfam family "Bacterial small subunit ribosomal RNA", at positions 958 to 1385 of the family's 1533-position model. Lineage: Bacteria; Pseudomonadati; Acidobacteriota; Terriglobia; Terriglobales; Acidobacteriaceae. The record is from RNAcentral.
AACGCGAAGAACCUUACCUGGGCUCGAACGGCUUUGGAAACUCCUUGGAAACAGGGAUUUCCCGCAAGGGACCGGAGUCGAGGUGCUGCAUGGCUGUCGUCAGCUCGUGUCGUGAGAUGUUGGGUUAAGUCCCGCAACGAGCGCAACCCUUGUCCUGUGUUGGCAUGCGUUUAGCAAUAAGCGCGCAACUCUCAGGAGACCGCCAGCGAUAAGCUGGAGGAAGGUGGGGAUGACGUCAAGUCAUCAUGGCCUUUAUGUCCAGGGCCACACACGUGCUACAAUGGGCGGUACAAAGCGUCGCCAACCCGCGAGGGGGAGCUAAUCGCCAAAAACCGUCCUCAGUUCGGAUUGCAGGCUGCAACUCGCCUGCAUGAAGCUGGAAUCGCUAGUAAUGCUAUAUCAGAACGAUAGCGUGAAUACGUUCCCGGGCCUUGUA